UACGUAUGGUGCAAGCGUUGUCCGGAAUUAUUGGGCGUAAAGAGCUCGUAGGCGGUCUGUCGCGUCGGCUGUGAAAUCCCGAGGCUCAACCUCGGGUCUGCAGUCGAUACGGGCAAACUAGAGUAUUGCAGGGGAGACUGGAAUUCCUGGUGUAGCGGUGAAAUGCGCAGAUAUCAGGAGGAACACCGGUGGCGAAGGCGGGUCUCUGGGCAAUAACUGACGCUGAGGAGCGAAAGCGUGGGGAGCGAACAGG
This 253-nucleotide ribosomal RNA is filed under the name uncultured bacterium. Its description in RNAcentral is "partial 16S ribosomal RNA". It matches the Rfam family "Bacterial small subunit ribosomal RNA", at positions 524 to 776 of the family's 1533-position model. The record is from RNAcentral.